RNAcentral lists this ribosomal RNA (301 nucleotides) under uncultured bacterium. RNAcentral's name for it is "partial 16S ribosomal RNA". It matches the Rfam family "Bacterial small subunit ribosomal RNA", at positions 509 to 809 of the family's 1533-position model. The record is from RNAcentral.
CAGUCGCCGCGGUAAUACGUAGGGUGCAAGCGUUAAUCGGAAUUACUGGGCGUAAAGCGUGCGCAGGCGGUUAUAUAAGACAGAUGUGAAAUCCCCGGGCUCAACCUGGGAACUGCAUUUGUGACUGUAUAGCUAGAGUACGGCAGAGGGGGAUGGAAUUCCGCGUGUAGCAGUGAAAUGCGUAGAUAUGCGGAGGAACACCGAUGACGAAGGCAAUCCCCUGGGCCUGUACUGACGCUCAUGCACGAAAGCGUGGGGAGCAAACAGGAUUAGAUACCCCUGUAGUCCCUGUCUCUUAUCC